GAUGAAUCUGUGUACAGGGAGGAGGUUCGAAAGGUAUCCACGUGGUGCUCAGAGAACAAUCUGCACCCAAACAUUGGCAAGACAAAGGAGAUGGUGUUGGACUUUCGGAGGAAGAGAGGGGAGCCAGCCACGUUGUACAUCAGAGGAUAAUCUCCUGUCAAAUCCAUCUGACUGCUGGACACACGGCUUGUUCUCAGGUGGCCACGACAAGGGCAAUCCUGUGUAGGUCUAUUGCGAAGUGCAUACUGUUUAAUUCGGCGGGGAACCUUCCAAGG
This is a non-coding RNA of Zootoca vivipara (common lizard), 275 nucleotides long. NCBI's taxonomy places the organism in Eukaryota, Metazoa, Chordata, Lepidosauria, Squamata, Lacertidae. The record is from RefSeq and is a predicted model, not a curated record.